UACGUAGGUCCCGAGCGUUGUCCGGAUUUAUUGGGCGUAAAGCGAGCGCAGGUGGUUUAUUAAGUCUGGUGUAAGAGGCAGUAACUCAACCAUUGUAUGCAUUGGAAACUGGUAGACUUGAGUGCAGGAGAGGAGAGUGGAAUUCCAUGUGUAGCGGUGAAAUGCGUAGAUAUAUGGAGGAACACCGGUGGCGAAAGCGGCUCUCUGGCCUGUAACUGACACUGAGGCUCGAAAGCGUGGGGAGCAAACAGG
This 252-nucleotide ribosomal RNA is filed under the name uncultured bacterium. Its description in RNAcentral is "partial 16S ribosomal RNA". It matches the Rfam family "Bacterial small subunit ribosomal RNA", at positions 524 to 776 of the family's 1533-position model. The record is from RNAcentral.